CCUACGGGCGGCAGCAGUGAGGAAUAUUGGUCAAUGGACGGAAGUCUGAACCAGCCAUGCCGCGUGCAGGAAGACGGCUCUAUGAGUUGUAAACUGCUUUUGUACAAGGGUAAACCUGAAUACGUGUAUUCAGCUGAAAGUACUGUACGAAUAAGGAUCGGCUAACUCCGUGCCAGCAGCCGCGGUAAUACGGAGGAUCCAAGCGUUAUCCGGAUUUAUUGGGUUUAGAGGGUGCGUAGGCGGAUUGAUAAGUUAGAGGUGAAAUGUCCGAGCUUAACUCGGGAACUGCCUCUAAUACUGUUGAUCUAGAGAGUAGAUGCGGUAGGCGGAAUGUAUGGUGUAGCGGGGAAAUGCUUAGAGAUCAUACAGAACACCGAUUGCGAAGGCAGCUUACCAAUCUAUAUCUGACGUUGAGGCACGAAAGCGUGGGGAGCAAACAGGAUUAGAUACCCUAGUAGUC
Molecule: ribosomal RNA, 460 nt
Filed under: uncultured bacterium
Lineage: Bacteria
Description: partial 16S ribosomal RNA
Rfam family: Bacterial small subunit ribosomal RNA
Source: RNAcentral